Molecule: transfer RNA, 57 nt
Filed under: Ovis aries (sheep)
Lineage: Eukaryota; Metazoa; Chordata; Mammalia; Artiodactyla; Bovidae
Rfam family: tRNA
About the family: Transfer RNA (tRNA) molecules are approximately 80 nucleotides in length.
Source: Rfam by way of RNAcentral
UAGCUCAGAUGGUAAAGAAUCUGCCUGCAAUGCAGGUGACCCAGGUUCGAUCCCUGG